UAAAAUUCAAAAAUUAGCCAUUUAUUUGGUACUCAUUACUCAUCAGGAAAAGAAAUCUUGUUUAUUUUAUUUUUGGUGAGUUUUUGAUUUUCAAUUAAGUGAGAAGCAAAUGGCCUCAACAACUACCCCUUCACUUUCUCUCUCUUCUUCAUCGACCCUCGUCGACGGCAAGACAACUCGUCAGUCUGCAGCCGUGGCAUCGUCGCAAUGUGUGACACUACCAACCCUUCCGCCGCGGCCGGCCGUUCAAAGCCGUGCUGCCAGAACCACUGCUUACUGUAGAAAGAUUGCAAGGAAUGUGGCCGCAAUGGCUACAUCAACUGGAGAAGUUGCCACUGCAGAUGCCACAGCUGAAACGGCAACCACUGAGCUACCAUCAGAGCUUGUCCAAAAGAUUCAAGAAGUUUGGGACAAAGUUGAUGAUAAGUACGCAGUCAGUUCAUUGGGCGUUGCUGCAUUUAUUCUUCUUUGGAGCUCCACUGGAGUGAUCUCGGCAAUUGACAGGCUUCCUUUGAUUCCUGGUGUUCUUGAGCUUGUAGGAAUUGGUUACACCGGUUGGUUUGCCUACAAGAACUUGAUCUUCAAACCUGACAGAGAAGCUUUGAUAGCAAAAAUCAAGGAAUUGUACAAGGAUAUUCUUGGGAGCAGCUAAAUGGAAACAUAGUCCGAUGCUGCUGCAGAGACAUGGUCAAAAUAGAUUUCAGUUGAGCAAUCUUGCAGCUUUGCUCUUCAAAAUGUAAACUCUGCUUCGAUCUUUUGUCUUUUUAUUCUAACAGAAUAAAACCCAACUGAACUAUGUCUAUAUAUGUGCUUAUCUGUAUAUUGUCUUUUCAUUUCCUCACCUUCAAUAUGUUCUCAUUAGCAGUUGGAAGUUAAUGUAUA
RNAcentral lists this unclassified non-coding RNA (882 nucleotides) under Hevea brasiliensis (rubber tree). The record is from RNAcentral. Lineage: Eukaryota; Viridiplantae; Streptophyta; Magnoliopsida; Malpighiales; Euphorbiaceae.